CGGAUUCUGGCUCAGGAUGAACGCUAGCGGCAGGCUUAACACAUGCAAGUCGAGGGGCAUCGGGAGUAGCAAUACUGCCGGCGACCGGCGCAAGGGUGCGUAACGCGUGAGCAACAUGCCCGUAUCAGGGGGAUAAUCCAUGGAAACGUGGUCUAAUACCCCAUAGUAAUUAUGUAAGGCAUCUUAUAUAAUUUAAAGCUUUGGUGGAUACGGAUUGGCUCGCGUGACAUUAGCUGGAUGGUAAGGUAACGGCUUACCAUGGCUACGAUGUCUAGGGGUUCUGAGAGGAAGGUCCCCCACACUGGAACUGAGACACGGUCCAGACUCCUACGGGAGGCAGCAGUGAGGAAUAUUGGACAAUGGAUGGAAAUCUGAUCCAGCCAUGCCGCGUGCAAGGAAGACGGCCCUAUGGGUUGUAAACUGCUUUUGUAUGGGAGCAAUAAGGGCUACGUGUAGUCCGAUGAGAGUACCAUACGAAUAAGCACCGGCUAACUCCGUGCCAGCCGCGGC
This 510-nucleotide ribosomal RNA is filed under the name uncultured bacterium. RNAcentral describes it as "bacterial SSU rRNA". It matches the Rfam family "Bacterial small subunit ribosomal RNA", at positions 13 to 518 of the family's 1533-position model. The record is from RNAcentral.